UCAUGUGUACCUGGGGAGGUGGAAGGAGGAUGAAAGACUGUGGCUGUUCUUUAGUAGUUUCUUUCCUUGGAAAAAGAACAGGGUGGGGCAUGCCACUGCUCUCGAAGGCUUCUGUACUCUUGCAUCGGAAAUCAUCUCCUUUUCUUCUCCAUCCCUUUGUCUCUCCUAACUUAUUGCAUCACAUCAGCACCAGCUGGCUGUACCCCAUAUUAGAGGAAGAUGGGGCCCAGCCAAUGAUUGCUUCUCUGAACUAAGCUGUACCCUGGCAAGAAAAACCUGCUCUUGAUAGUCUGCUGAAUAGUGACUGAGAUGACUGGCAGUAAAAUAGGAGACUUUUCAAGUGGAUGAAAGUUAAAUUCAAUAGGUGAUGCUGUGAACCCUCCCCAAGGGAGGUACCAAAAGCCUGCAUGAAGCAAAAACUGGAAACAAAUAAAGGAGAGUAUGGUGACUUUGCACUAAGUUACUCAUUUAUUCACAUAAUUAAUGAGUUUCUAUUAGUGUUAGGCACCGUUCUAGAUGAUGGUAUAAUUAGUUAACAAAAACCUCAAAACUCUCGCCCCCCAUGGAGCUUACAUUUCCAGGGAGGGAGAGAGAUGAUACAACAAUAAGAAAAUACAGAGCUAAUGUCAUUCUAUAUUGUAUAAUUAUGUAAAAUCAAGCCUGAGUAUUUGACAGCUUCUCAGAUACCACAGAUCUGUUGUUUAAUGAAAUCAGCCUAAAAGAUAAAAUUGUGUAUUUGCAUGUACACAUCACCUUGCCUGUAUUAUGAGUCAGCGUUUCUUCUUAUAAGAAACCACAGCUUGGUAAAAGGUAGAAGCUCAAUUUCCUAAUAAAGAGAUAUGUUUUACUAGGCAGGCUGUUGCACUGCAUAUUACUCUCUCUGACCUUGGCUUUAGUCCAAGGAGGAUUAAACCCAGAAAGAGAAGGGAGUAAAGCAAGGUGUAGCAGAAAAGCAAAACAAAACAAUACAAAAUAACCUCAAAGAAAUUAGUAACAAUAAUUAGUGCAUUCAGAGAUUAUAUCUUUCUUUCUUUUUUUCCUUUUUUUUUUUCUUUCGAGACGGAGUUUUGCUCUUGUUGCCCAGGCUGGAGU
RNAcentral lists this long non-coding RNA (1092 nucleotides) under Homo sapiens (human). Its description in RNAcentral is "HSALNT0318696". The record is from RNAcentral. Lineage: Eukaryota; Metazoa; Chordata; Mammalia; Primates; Hominidae.